AACGCGAAGAACCUUACCAGGUCUUGACAUCCUCUGACAAUCCUAGAGAUAGGACGUCCCCUUCGGGGGCAGAGUGACAGGUGGUGCAUGGUUGUCGUCAGCUCGUGUCGUGAGAUGUUGGGUUAAGUCCCGCAACGAGCGCAACCCUUGAUCUUAGUUGCCAGCAUUUAGUUGGGCACUCUAAGGUGACUGCCGGUGACAAACCGGAGGAAGGUGGGGAUGACGUCAAAUCAUCAUGCCCCUUAUGACCUGGGCUACACACGUGCUACAAUGGGCAGAACAUAGGGCAGCGAAACCGCGAGGUUAAGCCAAUCCCACAAAUCUGUUCUCAGUUCGGAUCGCAGUCUGCAACUCGACUGCGUGAAGCUGGAAUCGCUAGUAAUCGCGGAUCAGCAUGCCGCGGUGAAUACGUUCCCGGGCCUUGUACACACCG
RNAcentral lists this ribosomal RNA (433 nucleotides) under uncultured bacterium. Its description in RNAcentral is "bacterial SSU rRNA". It matches the Rfam family "Bacterial small subunit ribosomal RNA", at positions 958 to 1392 of the family's 1533-position model. The record is from RNAcentral.